Molecule: long non-coding RNA, 1649 nt
Organism: Monodon monoceros (narwhal)
Lineage: Eukaryota; Metazoa; Chordata; Mammalia; Artiodactyla; Monodontidae
Source: Ensembl
CUGAAGACAGGUUUGUGGGAAAUGUAACAGAAUCCAAAAUCAUAGCAAACUUUCUGAUGGAUGAUACACUACACCAGAAAAACCUAGAAAGACUGACCUUUCUUCACUUGAUAAGAAGAAAAGAAAAUUGAAUUCACCCUGCUUUGAUGCGCAUGGUUAAUUCUUCAGACCAGAUCUUGGUUCACAAGCCUGGGGUAAUGCUGAAGCUUUUGCGGUGGGAGCUCCAAGUUGGAACCACUGGACUAACAGAGAACCUCAGACCCCAGGGAAUAUUCAUCGGAGUGAGGUCUCAAGGAGGUCCUCAUCUCGGCACCAAGACCCAGCUCCGCCCAACAGCCUACAGACUCCAGUGUUGGAAGCCUCAGGCCCAACAACCAGUAAGACGGGAACUCAAUCCCACUCAUUAAAAAAUUUUAAAAAAGAGACAGCAAAAAAAUGUCACAGAUGAAGGAGCAAGGUAAAAACCUACAAGACCAAAUAAAUGAACAGGAAAUAGGCAAUCUACCUGAAAAAGAAUUCAGAGUAAUGAUAGUAAAGAUGAUCCAGAAUCUCGGAAAUAGAAUGGAGGAACAGAUUGAGACAAUACAAGAAAUGUUUAACAAAGAUCUGGAAGAACUAAAGAACAAGCAAACAGAUGAACAACACAAUAACUGAAAUGAAAAAUACACUAGAAUGAAUCAAUAACAGAAAAACAGAGGCAGAAGAACGAAUAAGUGAGCUGGAAGACAAAAUGGUGGAAAUAACUGCAAAGAAACAGAAAAAGAAUGAAAAGAAUUGAAGACAAUCUCAGAGACCUCUGGGACAACACUAAACACAUCAACAUUCGAACUAUAGGGGUCCCAGAAGAAGAAGAGAAAAAGAAAGGGUGUGAGAAAAUAUCUGAAGAGAUUAUAGUUGAAAACUUCCCUAACAUGGGAAAGGAAAUAGUCACCCAAGUCCAGGAAGCACAGAGAGUCCCAUACAGGAUAAACCAUAGGAAACACACACCAAGACACAUAGUAAUCAAAUGAACAAAAAAUAAAUUCAAAGAAAAAUACUAAAAGCAGCAAGGGAAAAACAAAAAAUAACAUACAAAGGAAUCCCCAUAAGCUUAUCAGCUGAUUUUUCUGCAGAAACUCUGCAGGCCAGAAGGGAGUGGCAGGAUAUACUUAAAGUGAUGAAAGAGAAAAACCUACAACCAAGAUUACUCUACCCAGCAAGGAUCUCAUUCAGAUUUGGGGAGAAAUCAAAAGCUUUUCAGACAAGCAAAAGCUAAGAGAAUUGAGCGCCACCAAACCAGCUUUACAACAAAUGCUACAGAAACUUCUCUAGGCAGGAAACACAAGAGAAGAAAAAGACCCACAAAAACAAACCCAAAACAAUUAAGAAAAUGGUAAUAGGAACAUACAUAUCAAUAAUAACCUUAAUGUAAACGGAUUAAAUGCCCCAAUCAAAAGACACAGACUGGCUGAAUGGAUAAAAACCCCAGACCCAUAUAUAUGCUGUCUACAACAGACCCACUUCAGACCUAGGGACACAUAGAGACUGAAAGUGAAGGAAUGGAAAAAAGAUAUUCCAUGCAAACGGAAAUCAAAAGAAAGCUGGGGUAGCAAUACUCGCAUCAGAUAAAAUAGACUUUAAAAUAAAGACUGUUACAAGAUAUAAGGAGG